ACUCUUACGGGAGGCAGCAGUGGGGAAUAUUGCACAAUGGGCGCAAGCCUGAUGCAGCCAUGCCGCGUGUAUGAAGAAGGCCUUCGGGUUGUAAAGUACUUUCAGCAGUGAGGAAGGUGGGUAUGUUAAUAGCAUAUUCUAUUUGUACGUUAGCUGCAGAAGAAGCACCGGCUAACUCCGUGCCAGCAGCCGCGGUAAUACGGAGGGUGCGAGCGUUAAUCGGAAUUACUGGGCGUAAAGCGCAUGCAGGUGGUUGUUAAGUCAGAUGUGAAAGCCCGGGGCUCAACCUCGGAAUUGCAUUUGAAACUGGCAAACUAGAGUACUGGUAGAGGGGGUAGAAUUUCAGGUGUAGCGGUGAAAUGCGUAGAGAUCUGAAGGAAUACCGGUGGCGAAGGCGGCCCCUGGACAGAUACUGACACUCAGAUGCGAAAGCGUGGGAGC
RNAcentral lists this ribosomal RNA (441 nucleotides) under uncultured bacterium. RNAcentral's name for it is "bacterial SSU rRNA". It matches the Rfam family "Bacterial small subunit ribosomal RNA", at positions 335 to 769 of the family's 1533-position model. The record is from RNAcentral.